GGAAAUAUAUUUUAAUAAAAAAAUUAAUUUGCAAAAUUAAAAUUAAAACAACUUUUAUUUCCU
RNAcentral lists this transfer RNA (63 nucleotides) under Prosevania sp. ZJUH_2016031. Its description in RNAcentral is "tRNA-Cys". Lineage: Eukaryota; Metazoa; Arthropoda; Insecta; Hymenoptera; Evaniidae. The record is from RNAcentral.